GAUGAACGCUGGCGGCGUGCCUAAUACAUGCAAGUCGAGCGAACAGAUGAGGAGCUUGCUCCUCUGACGUUAGCGGCGGACGGGUGAGUAACACGUGGAUAACCUACCUAUAAGACUGGGAUAACUUCGGGAAACCGCAGCUAAUACCGGAUAAUAUAUUGAACCGCAUGGUUCAAUAGUGAAAGACGGUUUUGCUGUCACUUAUAGAUGGAUCCGCGCCGCAUUAGCUAGUUGGUAAGGUAACGGCUUACCAAGGCAACGAUGCGUAGCCGACCUGAGAGGGUGAUCGGCCACACGGGAACUGAGACACGGUCCAGACUCCUACGGGAGGCAGCAGUAGGGAAUCUUCCGCAAUGGGCGAAAGCCUGACGGAGCAACGCCGCGUGAGUGAUGAAGGUCUUCGGAUCGUAAAACUCUGUUAUUAGGGGAGAACAAAUGUGUAAGUAACUAUGCACGUCUUGACGGUACCUAAUCAGAAAGCCACGGCUAACUACGUG
RNAcentral lists this ribosomal RNA (497 nucleotides) under uncultured bacterium. Its description in RNAcentral is "partial 16S ribosomal RNA". It matches the Rfam family "Bacterial small subunit ribosomal RNA", at positions 28 to 507 of the family's 1533-position model. The record is from RNAcentral.